This is a long non-coding RNA of Stegostoma tigrinum, 821 nucleotides long. RefSeq lists it as uncharacterized. Lineage: Eukaryota; Metazoa; Chordata; Chondrichthyes; Orectolobiformes; Stegostomatidae. The record is from RefSeq and is a predicted model, not a curated record. The transcript has 5 exons.
UUGCAAACAGCUGAAGAGACAACCUGCUUGAUAUGAUUCGUCAUUCUUUGGGACGAACAGGUAGUCUCUGGGUUGCAAACGAGUUCCAUUUUUGAGUCUGUUCGCAAAUCACUUUGCAUAAAAUUCGGAGCACGAUAUAAAAUAGAUAUUCGGAGGCUGGUGCUCUGCAGUGCCAACCUCAGGGGACGCAGUGUGCAGUCAGUCAUGGAGCAUGCCCUGAAAUGUUGGGGAACCUGGCCACGAUGAAUGCUGGGAAAAGAUGCCAGUGAGCCGCAGGUGCCAGUCUCUGACAUAUUGGAUACAUUUGGUUUGGUGAUCCACAACUAUACAAAAGCUCAUGAUCCACAAUGAUCAGCCCAUCCGCCUUCUCCUUUGCUAGUGUGUAUCUGCUGUAUAUUAAGGAGUUCUAUUGGCUUCUACUGCAUUGCAAAUAGGAACUGCAUUUUGUAGAUCUUUGAAAUCUACAGCAUUCUAUUUUUUGAUGAGUUUUUUACAGAUCUGCUACCUAUUGAUCUCACCAAGGCCUCAGUUACACAAGGUUUCAAAGGAUAUAACGGGGAUUUACAGUCAUGCUUCCUUGUGGAUGGGGAUGUGGCUAGUUGAUCUUGCCCACCUCUUUAACAUAGGCACAGGAAGCUUGUGUUUGUUUUGAGCGGACGAGACUGCCGGCAUCCUCAGACUUUACUGGAAGACAAGGUGGUCCCGAAACAGGAGAAAUCCAUUAGAAAGAACUGAUCUCUAAUGUAUUUCCAAGGCAACAAUUGGUCCCAUUGUUGUGACAGCUUACAGGAAGAUACUGAGAUAACAAGGUGUACAGCUGA